Coccinella septempunctata (seven-spotted ladybird) is the source of this 808-nucleotide long non-coding RNA. RefSeq lists it as uncharacterized. NCBI's taxonomy places the organism in Eukaryota, Metazoa, Arthropoda, Insecta, Coleoptera, Coccinellidae. The record is from RefSeq and is a predicted model, not a curated record. The transcript is spliced from 3 exons.
ACUUUGUUUGAAAUUUCGCUUUGCGAACGAAAUUUUGCCAACUUAAAUGUUGAAGAAGGCCUUUGGCGCUUAUCCUUAUCAAAAGGCAGAGAAUAAGUGUGGUACAAGGAGUUCAAAAGUGUUCGUGAAUAGUUCGAAGAUCUUCCUCGUUCUGAACGGCCUUCGACGUUAACUACCGCAAAAGACAUCAUGAUUGGAAAAUAGCGCUUGAAAAUGGUUAUCGGAUUAUGUAAACAUCUCGUAAGAAAAGGCCCAGCAUAUUUUAUGCAUGAAACGCGUCAAAACACAGGUUAUGCGGAAAGUGCUGAAUUUUCUUCGAAAAUAUUUUUGAUCAUCGGCUGAAGAGUUGAUUUGGGAAUUUUUGGGAGGCAAGAAGGUUGAGCUGAAUUUUGGAAUGGUGUGCCACGAUUCUACCUCACGGUGAAGAAAAAACGAGUUGAAGUGAAACAACGAAGACUAAUUUGUGUUUGAGUUUUGAAUAUCCCCCUAAGUCCCUUGAGCAACUGGCGAAAUCAAUCAUUACUUAUAUCAAGAACGACACUUCCAAAUUAAUUUACAAAUCAUCGACAUUCAUGUGGAUAGCCUGCAGUAAAAAAAAAGGCUGAACAUCGGUCGAAGGGAUACAAGUAUUGCCCAGUUAUUAACAAACUGUCUACGAGAAGUCAGAAGUCAUUCAGUUAUCUUCUAUUUUUAUAAAUAUAAGCAUAUUUGUAUUAUUCAUAUUUACGUUAGAAAUUGUAUCUCUCUAUUAUUUACACUAUUAGUUUUUCAUUUAUCUACAAAAACUGUAUUUCACGAAAUAAAAAAA